This is a non-coding RNA of Ictidomys tridecemlineatus (thirteen-lined ground squirrel), 72 nucleotides long. The record is from Rfam. Lineage: Eukaryota; Metazoa; Chordata; Mammalia; Rodentia; Sciuridae.
GGGGGUGUGGCUCAGUGGUGGAGAGCGGGCCUCACAUGUGCGAGGGCCUGGGCUCCAUCCCCAGCACCUACA